This 200-nucleotide ribosomal RNA is filed under the name uncultured Streptococcus sp. RNAcentral's name for it is "partial 16S ribosomal RNA". It matches the Rfam family "Bacterial small subunit ribosomal RNA", at positions 335 to 526 of the family's 1533-position model. Lineage: Bacteria; Bacillati; Bacillota; Bacilli; Lactobacillales; Streptococcaceae. The record is from RNAcentral.
ACUCCUACGGGAGGCAGCAGUAGGGAAUCUUCCGCAAUGGGGGCAACCCUGACCGAGCAACGCCGCGUGAGUGAAGAAGGUUUUCGGAUCGUAAAGCUCUGUUGUAAGUCAAGAACGAGUGUGAGAGUGGAAAGUUCACACUGUGACGGUAGCUUACCAGAAAGGGACGGCUAACUACGUGCCAGCAGCCGCGGUAAUAC